Molecule: ribosomal RNA, 481 nt
Filed under: uncultured Bacillota bacterium
Lineage: Bacteria; Bacillati; Bacillota
Description: uncultured Firmicutes bacterium partial 16S ribosomal RNA
Rfam family: Bacterial small subunit ribosomal RNA
Source: RNAcentral
GACGGCCUUCGGGUCGUAAAGCUCUGUUGCUCUAGGGAAGAACACGUACCAGAMGUAACUGCUGGUACCUUGUACGGCUACCUAASYYAGAAAGCCACGGCUAACUACGUSCCAGCAGCCGCGGUAAUWCGUASGUGGCAAGCGUUGUCCGRAAUUAUUGGGCGUAAAGCSCGCGCAGGCGGUUUUUUAAGUCUGAUGUSAAAGCCCACGGCUCAACCGUGKARGGUCAUUGGAAACUGGWGAACUUGAGUGCAGAAGAGGAGAGCGGAAUUCCACGUGUAGCGRUSAACAUGCGUAGAGAUGUGGAGGAACACCAGUGGCGAAGGCGGCUCUCUGGUCUGUAAYUGACGCUGAGGCGCGAAAGCGUGGGGAGAAAACAGGAUUDGAUAUCCCUGGUAGAGCCACGCCGUAAACGAUGAGUGCUAAGUGUKAGAGGGUUUCGCGCUGUUUAGUGCUGCAGCDAACGCAUUAAGCACUCCGC